This 86-nucleotide long non-coding RNA is filed under the name Ornithorhynchus anatinus (platypus). RNAcentral describes it as "lncRNA (ENSOANG00000045571.1)". Lineage: Eukaryota; Metazoa; Chordata; Mammalia; Monotremata; Ornithorhynchidae. The record is from RNAcentral.
GUAGACAGCAGGAAAGAGAACUGAGUGGUGAUAAAACUCCAGACCCUUUGGACCUGAAAGAAGCCAUCACUUAAAGGAUGAGACCC